GGGUGCUUGAGGUGGCUGAGAACAUUGAUUUCCUGUUCUAGCUGCCUUAUAGACUCAGCAGAUUUUGGGUCAUCUGGUAAUAAUUCAACUUCUUUCAAUGCAGACAAAGCUCCUGUCUCUCUGUUUGAUGCUACGUAAACACUUCCAAAUGUCCCACGUCCAAUAAGCUUUCCUUUUUUCCACUGGCCUUUAAUAGGUGAUAUAUCUGCUUUAGGGGUAGGUGGUGAAACGGGAUGGGUAGCUAGAGGAGGAAGGGGUAAAGGAUGGACAUUUCCUUGAGCGCAAUUCUCACGACGCGUCAUUGGGCACUGAUCAUUUGGUAGUGGAUGAUGUAAAGGUGAAAUAGAUCCACUUGGACUCCUGGAUCUUCUCUGAGGACUUAAUCUUGGACUGUGAAGAG
This 400-nucleotide unclassified non-coding RNA is filed under the name Hevea brasiliensis (rubber tree). The record is from RNAcentral. Lineage: Eukaryota; Viridiplantae; Streptophyta; Magnoliopsida; Malpighiales; Euphorbiaceae.